RNAcentral lists this ribosomal RNA (488 nucleotides) under uncultured bacterium. RNAcentral's name for it is "partial 16S ribosomal RNA". It matches the Rfam family "Bacterial small subunit ribosomal RNA", at positions 28 to 507 of the family's 1533-position model. The record is from RNAcentral.
GACGAACGCUGGCGGCGUGCUUAACACAUGCAAGUCGAACGGAAAGGCCCUGCUUUUGUGGGGUGCUCGAGGGGCGAACGGGUGAGUAACACGUGAGUAACCUGCCCUUGACUUUGGGAUAACUUCAGGAAACUGGGGCUAAUACCGGAUAGGAGCUCCUGCUGCAUGGGGGGGGUUGGAAAGUUUCGGCGGUUGGGGAUGGACUCGGGGCUUAUCAGCUUGUUGGUGGGGUAGUGGCCUACCAAGGCUUUGACGGGUAGCCGGCCUGAGAGGGUGAUCAGUCACACUGGAGCUGAGACAGGGUCCAGAGUCCUGCGAGACGGAGCAGUGGGGAAUGUUGGGCAGUGGGCGAGAGUCUGAUCCAGCCGUGGGGCGUGUGUGAAGAAGGUCUUCGGAUUGGAAAGCACGUUUAGUUGGGAGGAAGGGCAGUAGGUUAUGACCUAGCUGGUUUGACGGUACCAACAGAAUAAGCACCGGCUAACUACGUG